Oryctolagus cuniculus (rabbit) is the source of this 1869-nucleotide non-coding RNA. NCBI's taxonomy places the organism in Eukaryota, Metazoa, Chordata, Mammalia, Lagomorpha, Leporidae. The record is from RefSeq and is a predicted model, not a curated record.
UCUGCAAGAGAGAACGGAAGCACACGCCGUGAAUCACACAAAGGCCGACCUCUACCAAGAAAAGGACGCGAGGAGUGCAAAUAAAAAGAAGACUCGGAUUUCGGUCAGGACUCGGACUUCAGUUAUUGGGAAGAACCCGUGGAUUAAUUCAGGGAAGGCUCUUCAGAACCGGAGACAAUGGGGAAAUCUACCUUUGUAUGCAGUGGAACAGUUUUUAUCACUAGGUGAUUGCGUGUGUCUCCCUCCACACCUCCACCGUCUCAGGGACUCUGCUAGGCACAGUGGCAGUCCCAGGUGAAUAAAGUCUGGUCUUCAAGAGGCGGAAGAGCUCCUCCUAUACGUCAUCACUGGGACUCGGAGUCUCACCAUAAAGAAGUAGGGCUAAGCAGAACAGAACCGUUACAGAACUUUCUUCCAGUGCUUGCUUAAAAGAAAGCCACACUGCCCCUCAAGGCAGACAUGGAGCCUGGCAUCUAAGUUCCACCUGGAGUGACUGGUUUCACAUGUGUCGGUCCCUGAGGAGACAGAUGAAUAUGGCUGCCAACUAUCAAUGUUAGAGUCAGUCUGAGAUAUGCUGGUGCUUAUGGUGACUGGGAAGUUACUUGUAAGACUAACUUCCCCUCGUUUUGUAAACAUUAAGGAAAGGGCUGUCAAUCACUAGGACCCAAGACCCGUCCCAUGACCAGCAGUUGUCAGAGGCAAGGAAGGUUAUGAUGGUGACAACUGACUUAUCUGACCCGGCAUGGGCCACACAUAUUCCCUACUGUUUAGUGCUAAUGGUGUCAUUUGUAUAUUCCUACCCAAAGAAUGUGUGCUCAUUUAAACUUGAGGGUGAAUCUGAGUGGAGGCGGUUUCAAUUCAAUUUGCAAAACCCUUUCUACUUUAAUGCAUCAGAAGUGUUACCAGACAACUGGGUUUUGAAACUCAUAGCUGUUCACAAUUAUACCAUUUGUGUUUGCUUACAAUGUACUUAAAUACUUCCAGAAAAAUUUCACUUUUGCCAAAGAGCUUCUAAGAGCAUUCAGUUCUCAUAGAAAGUUGUUAUAUGAUCUAUGUUAUGUCACACUGUGAUCAUGCCAACACAUUUAAAUGUGUUUUUGAGUACACAAAUACAUGUAUACUCUAAAAUGUUUUUCAAAGUGUGGUUCAGGGAAGGUGCCUGGCUGUGAACUGUUAUUGGUCAAUGAUGAGGUAACCAGACAUACUCUAUUAUUUGGGAAUUUUUACAGCAAAUAUAAGGAGUAAUUGUAUGUCUCCAAAUCUAACUGUAAAAUAGAGCUUCUUGGGCCAGACAUCGUGCCACAGCAGGUUAAGCUGCUGCUUAGGACAUCAACCACAUCUCAUAUCCUCUGGGGUAGAGACUAGCCUCUGCUUCUAAUCCAGCUUCCUGCUAAUUACCCUGGGAGGAAGAGAUGAUGGCUCAAGUCCUUGGGCCCCUGCCAUCCAUGUGGAAGAAGUUCCGGACUCAGACUCCUGGUUUUGGGAGGGUCCAGCCCUAGCUGUUGCAGACAAUUGGGAAGUGAAUCAACGGAUAGAAGAUCUCUCUCUCUCUCUUCUCCCUUCCCCCUGUUGCUUUGCUUUUCACGUAGACAAAAAUCAACAAACAUUUAAAAGUGGAGUUUUCCAAUUAAACAUUAUUUUUAAAAAUGUGGCGUUUCUAUUGUUUCCAUCUUUGUAUUUCUACUUUUUUCAAGUAAUUAUUUUAAUGUGUUCUACAAAAGCCCAUGAAAGGUUGUGUGUGUGUGUGUGUGUGUAUGCGUGCGCACGCACAUGCGGGUGGGGGAGAUGGAGGCGGGAGCAGGGCAGGGAUUUGGCCUAGCCGUUAUGAUGCCUAGUUCCAAUACUGCAGUGCCUGGGUUCAAGCCCCAG